ACGGUACAGUGAUAAAGCAGAGCUCUUCAAAGCACAGGUGGAGUGUGUCGUUGAAAUGAGGGAUAAAAGUCAGAACUCACAGCUGCGGCGGACGCUGUCAGACCGAUACCCAUCACUGCACUGGCUGGAGCGGUGAUCACACACACACACACACACACACACACUGACUCACGCAUUCACAGACACACACACACUGACUCACGCAUUCACAGACACACACACACUGACUCACGCAUUCACAGACACACACACACACACACACUCACUACAAAACAUGUAAAGUAUUUUUGUCGUGUUUUUUAGUAAAAUACCGAAAUAUCCUCAAAUCAAGAUACAUGUAGUUGAGAAACAAAAAAGACUGGAGAUACUAAGUCUUGUUUUCUGAAAAUGUAUCAAAAUGUAGUGAAAGCAAACAGACAUCUGCCAGUGGGGUCAGAACAAUACACUUGCUUUUCCUUUGAAUUGAGAGUAUUUUUCAUUCUCCAUUGGCAGAUAUGUUUUUGUUAAUUUAUAUAUAAACUAAUGUAUGUAUAAUAUAUUAAGUCGUUUUGCAUCUUGAUUUAAAAAUGUUUAGAUAUUUCUACUGGAAAACAAGACAAAAAAAUUGUUGUUUGAUUAAACACACAGAUAGAGCAUUUAGACGAAAAUACAACCUCAUAUAAUUACUCUUAGUGUCACUGAUAUCACGACACACAGAUUUCAUUAUUUCUAUUCAAACGAGUGUAAAGAUCGCCAAAGAUCUAAGACUGUAAUUCAAUUCAAAUGUUCUGAGUCACAGCAUUAAUUGCCCCAGUCAUUCCAGCAUGAAUUGAUUCAUUAUUAUUUGAUGAUCAAGAACGUCUGUCUUUACGGGAGGACAGUUGUGCUGUAUAUAACAGUAUUUAUUAAACUCACUGAAUGUGUGAUGUGGAAUCUAGCUGUAUUGAUGUCAGCUGUAUUUGGCUUAUGGAUAUAAAUGCUCAUCCUGUAUAUGAUCACACUCUGACUGCUGUAUUCUAUCGAGAUCAUAAGGUUAUGAGUGUAUGAAUCUGCACAUCAUUACAACCUAGAAUCCGAGAGAGAGAGAGAGAGAGAGAGAGAGAGAGAGAAAAAGAGAGAG
Sinocyclocheilus grahami is the source of this 1099-nucleotide long non-coding RNA. RefSeq lists it as uncharacterized. The record is from RefSeq and is a predicted model, not a curated record. The transcript has 2 exons. Lineage: Eukaryota; Metazoa; Chordata; Actinopteri; Cypriniformes; Cyprinidae.